ACAGGUGUCACGGUGCCCAGGUGUGAAAGGGAAAGGUGUCUCGGUGCCCAGGUGUGAAAGGGAAAGGUGUCUCGAUGCCCAGGUGUGAGAGGGAAAGGUGUCUCGAUGCCCAGGUGUGACAGGGAAAGGUGUCUCGGUGCCCAGGUGUGAGAGGAAAAGGUGUCUCAGUGCCCAGGUGUGAGAGUGAAAUGUCGCUCUGUGCCCAGGUGUGGGGGAGAGGGGCCCAGGUGUGAGAGAGAAAGGUCGCUCUGUGCCCAGAUGUGGG
This is a long non-coding RNA of Amblyraja radiata (thorny skate), 265 nucleotides long. RefSeq lists it as uncharacterized. The record is from RefSeq and is a predicted model, not a curated record. The transcript has 5 exons. Lineage: Eukaryota; Metazoa; Chordata; Chondrichthyes; Rajiformes; Rajidae.